UACAGAGGGUGCGAGCGUUGUCCGGAAUUACUGGGCGUAAAGGGCGCGUAGGCGGCUUGGUAAGUCGGGGGUGAAAGUCAGCGGCUCAACCGCUGGACUGCCUUCGAGACUGCCUGGCUUGAGCAUGGUAGAGGCUGGCGGAAUUCCCGGUGUAGCGGUGGAAUGCGUAGAGAUCGGGAAGAACAUCGGUGGCGAAGGCGGCCGGCUGGGCCAUUGCUGACGCUGAUGCGCGACAGCGUGGGGAGCAAACAGG
This 253-nucleotide ribosomal RNA is filed under the name uncultured bacterium. RNAcentral describes it as "partial 16S ribosomal RNA". It matches the Rfam family "Bacterial small subunit ribosomal RNA", at positions 524 to 776 of the family's 1533-position model. The record is from RNAcentral.